RNAcentral lists this long non-coding RNA (428 nucleotides) under Mytilus galloprovincialis (Mediterranean mussel). The record is from RNAcentral. Lineage: Eukaryota; Metazoa; Mollusca; Bivalvia; Mytilida; Mytilidae.
CAAAAAGUGACCGAAGAAAGUACGAUGAAUAACGAAGUCUAUACGAUGGUGCCGAAAUUAUAUACGAUAGCAAAAGAUGGACAUACGAAGGUUAACCGAAGACGGGUAUUUAAGCUUCAUAUCUCAGCCGAAGCCUACACGAUGGAUCACGAAGGCUACACGAUGGAUUACGAAGGCUACACGAUGGAUUACGAUGAUGGCGCGAUGGCCAUACGAUGUCUAAAAGAUACGAACAGAAUUUCGACAACAUAUCGUUUCUGUACAAGUCUGCCAUGCAUGGCGGGAAAUCGAUCUUUUUGUCUAAUUCUUAUAAAACUUAGUUUAUUAUCCCCUCGCCUACUACAUGUAAGUUGCGUGUAUAUAAAAUUGUUAUUGACACUCUAGACCCAAAAUGCUCAAAACUUGGUAUGGUGUUACUCGUUAAGAAU